AAGGACUGGUGGAGUGCUUAGAAGUGAGAAUGCCGGUAUGAGUAGCGAAAGACGGGUGAGAAUCCCGUCCACCGAAUGCCUAAGGUUUCCUGAGGAAGGCUCGUCCGCUCAGGGUUAGUCAGGACCUAAGCCGAGGCCGACAGGCGUAGGCGAUGGACAACAGGUUGAUAUUCCUGUACCACCUCUUUAUCGUUUGAGCAAUGGAGGGACGCAGAAGGAUAGAAGAAGCGUGCGAUUGGUUGUGCACGUCCAAGCAGUUAGGCUGAUAAGUAGGCAAAUCCGCUUAUCAUAAAUGCUGAGCUGUGAUGGGGAAGCUCCUUAUGGAGCGAAGUCUUUGAUUCCCCGCUGCCAAGAAAAGCUUCUAGCGAGAUAAAAGGUGCCUGUACCGCAAACCGACACAGGUAGGCGAGGAGAGAAUCCUAAGGUGUGCGAGAGAACUCUGGUUAAGGAACUCGGCAAAAUGACCCCGUAACUUCGGGAGAAGGGGUGCUUUCUUAACGGAAAGCCGCAGUGAAUAGGCCCAAGCGACUGUUUAGCAAAAACACAGCUCUCUGCGAAGCCGUAAGGCGAAGUAUAGGGGGUGACACCUGCCCGGUGCUGGAAGGUUAAGGAGAGGGGUUAGCGUAAGCGAAGCUCUGAACUGAAGCCCCAGUAAACGGCGGCCGUAACUAUAACGGUCCUAAGGUAGCGAAAUUCCUUGUCGGGUAAGUUCCGACCCGCACGAAAGGUGUAACGAUUUGGGCACUGUCUCAACCAGAGACUCGGUGAAAUUAUAGUACCUGUGAAGAUGCAGGUUACCCGCGACAGGACGGAAAGACCCCGUGGAGCUUUACUGUAGCCUGAUAUUGAAUUUUGGUACAGUUUGUACAGGAUAGGCGGGAGCCAUUGAAACCGGAGCGCUAGCUUCGGUGGAGGCGCUGGUGGGAUACCGCCCUGACUGUAUUGAAAUUCUAACCUACGGGUCUUAUCGACCCGGGAGACAGUGUCAGGUGGGCAGUUUGACUGGGGCGGUCGCCUCCUAAAGUGUAACGGAGGCGCCCAAAGGUUCCCUCAGAAUGGUUGGAAAUCAUUCGUAGAGUGCAAAGGCAUAAGGGAGCUUGACUGCGAGACCUACAAGUCGAGCAGGGACGAAAGUCGGGCUUAGUGAUCCGGUGGUUCCGCAUGGAAGGGCCAUCGCUCAACGGAUAAAAGCUACCCCGGGGAUAACAGGCUUAUCUCCCCCAAGAGUCCACAUCGACGGGGAGGUUUGGCACCUCGAUGUCGGCUCAUCGCAUCCUGGGGCUGUAGUCGGUCCCAAGGGUUGGGCUGUUCGCCCAUUAAAGCGGUACGCGAGCUGGGUUCAGAACGUCGUGAGACAGUUCGGUCCCUAUCCGUCGUGGGCGUAGGAAAUUUGAGAGGAGCUGUCCUUAGUACGAGAGGACCGGGAUGGACGCACCGCUGGUGUACCAGUUGUUCUGCCAAGGGCAUAGCUGGGUAGCUAUGUGCGGAAGGGAUAAGUGCUGAAAGCAUCUAAGCAUGAAGCCCCCCUCAAGAUGAGAUUUCCCAUAGCGUAAGCUAGU
RNAcentral lists this ribosomal RNA (1559 nucleotides) under Bacillus thuringiensis serovar medellin. Its description in RNAcentral is "bacterial LSU rRNA". It matches the Rfam family "Bacterial large subunit ribosomal RNA", at positions 1265 to 2829 of the family's 2925-position model. The record is from RNAcentral. Lineage: Bacteria; Bacillati; Bacillota; Bacilli; Caryophanales; Bacillaceae.